RNAcentral lists this ribosomal RNA (539 nucleotides) under uncultured archaeon. RNAcentral describes it as "bacterial SSU rRNA". It matches the Rfam family "Archaeal small subunit ribosomal RNA", at positions 77 to 605 of the family's 1478-position model. The record is from RNAcentral.
CAUGGCAAACUGCUCAGUAACACAUGAUCAACUUGCCCUAUAGAGAAAAAUAAUCUCGGGAAACUGAGAAUAAUGUUUCAUAGUUGAAAAGGCUUGGAAAAGUUUUUCAAUAAAAUGGAUAAUGAGAAUGGUCUUUAUCUGCUAUAGGAUAGGAUCGUAUUCGAUUAUGGUUGUUGGUGAGGUAAUGGCUCACCAAGCCGAUAAUCGAUAGGGGCCGUGAGAGCGGAAGCCCCGAGAUGGGUACUGAGACAGCGACCCAGGCCUUACGAGGCGCAGCAGGCGCGAAACCUCCACAAUACACGAAAGUGUGAUGGGGUUACCCAAAGUGUUCUAUUAAGAACUGUGGUAGGUGAGUAAUGUUCCCUACUAGAAAGGAGAGGGCAAGGCUGGUGCCAGCCGCCGCGGUAAAACCAGCUCUUCAAGUGGUCGGGAUAAUUAUUGGGCUUAAAGUGUCCGUAGCCGGUUUAGUAAGUUCCUGGUAAAAUCGGGUAGCUUAACUAUCUGCAUGCUAGGAAUACUGCUAUACUAGAGGGCGGGGG